RNAcentral lists this ribosomal RNA (1249 nucleotides) under Dokdonia sp. RNAcentral's name for it is "bacterial SSU rRNA". It matches the Rfam family "Bacterial small subunit ribosomal RNA", at positions 100 to 1354 of the family's 1533-position model. The record is from RNAcentral. Lineage: Bacteria; Pseudomonadati; Bacteroidota; Flavobacteriia; Flavobacteriales; Flavobacteriaceae.
GCACGGGUGCGUAACGCGUAUAGAAUCUACCUUAUACUGGGGGAUAGCCUUUGGAAACGAAGAUUAAUACCCCAUAGUAUGUUUGAAUGGCAUCAUUUGGACAUUAAAGUUUCGGCGGUAUAAGAUGACUAUGCGUUCUAUUAGUUUGUUGGUAAGGUAACGGCUUACCAAGACUACGAUAGAUAGGGGUCCUGAGAGGGAGAUCCCCCACACUGGUACUGAGACACGGACCAGACUCCUACGGGAGGCAGCAGUGAGGAAUAUUGGACAAUGGAGGCAACUCUGAUCCAGCCAUGCCGCGUGUAGGAAGACUGCCCUAUGGGUUGUAAACUACUUUUAUAUGGGAAGAAUAAGGUCUACGUGUAGACUGAUGACGGUACCAUAAGAAUAAGCACCGGCUAACUCCGUGCCAGCAGCCGCGGUAAUACGGAGGGUGCAAGCGUUAUCCGGAAUCAUUGGGUUUAAAGGGUCCGUAGGCGGGCAUAUAAGUCAGUGGUGAAAGUCUGUGGCUCAACCAUAGAAUUGCCAUUGAUACUGUAUGUCUUGAAUUAUUGUGAAGUGGUUAGAAUAUGUAGUGUAGCGGUGAAAUGCUUAGAGAUUACAUAGAAUACCGAUUGCGAAGGCAGAUCACUAACAAUAUAUUGACGCUGAUGGACGAAAGCGUAGGUAGCGAACAGGAUUAGAUACCCUGGUAGUCUACGCCGUAAACGAUGGAUACUAGUUGUUUGGUCUUCGGACUGAGUGACUAAGCGAAAGUGAUAAGUAUCCCACCUGGGGAGUACGUUCGCAAGAAUGAAACUCAAAGGAAUUGACGGGGGCCCGCACAAGCGGUGGAGCAUGUGGUUUAAUUCGAUGAUACGCGAGGAACCUUACCAGGGCUUAAAUGUAGAUUGACAGGACUAGAGAUAGUUUUUUCUUCGGACAAUUUACAAGGUGCUGCAUGGUUGUCGUCAGCUCGUGCCGUGAGGUGUCAGGUUAAGUCCUAUAACGAGCGCAACCCCUGUGGUUAGUUGCCAGCGAGUAAUGUCGGGAACUCUAGCCAGACUGCCGGUGCAAACCGUGAGGAAGGUGGGGAUGACGUCAAAUCAUCACGGCCCUUACGUCCUGGGCCACACACGUGCUACAAUGGUAGGGACAGAGAGCAGCCACUGGGCGACCAGGAGCGAAUCUAUAAACCCUAUCUCAGUUCGGAUUGGAGUCUGCAACUCGACUCCAUGAAGCUGGAAUCGCUAGUAAUCUCAUAUCGUCC